UGGGGGAUAUUGCACAAUGGGCGAAAGCCUGAUGCAGCGACGCCGCGUGAGGGAAGACGGUCUUCGGAUUGUAAACCUCUGUCUUUGGGGAUGAAAAAAAUGACAGUACCCAAAGAGGAAGCCACGGCUAACUACGUGCCAGCAGCCGCGGUAAUACGUAGGUGGCGAGCGUUGUCCGGAAUUACUGGGUGUAAAGGGAGUGUAGGCGGGAAGUCAAGUCGAGUGUUAAAACUAUGGGCUCAACCCAUAAGUGCGCUUGAAACUGAUUUUCUUGAGUGAAGUAGAGGCAGGCGGAAUUCCUAGUGUAGCGGUGAAAUGCGUAGAUAUUAGGAGGAACACCAGUGGCGAAGGCGGCCUGCUGGGCUUUUACUGACGCUGAGGCUCGAAAGCGUGGGGAGCAAACA
This is a ribosomal RNA of 404 nucleotides. It matches the Rfam family "Bacterial small subunit ribosomal RNA", at positions 355 to 774 of the family's 1533-position model.